RNAcentral lists this ribosomal RNA (253 nucleotides) under uncultured bacterium. RNAcentral's name for it is "partial 16S ribosomal RNA". It matches the Rfam family "Bacterial small subunit ribosomal RNA", at positions 524 to 776 of the family's 1533-position model. The record is from RNAcentral.
UACGAAGGGGGCUAGCGUUGUUCGGAAUUACUGGGCGUAAAGCGCACGUAGGCGGGCGAUUAAGUCAGGGGUGAAAUCCCGGAGCUCAACUCCGGAACUGCCUUUGAUACUGGUCGUCUAGAGAUCGGAAGAGGUGAGUGGAAUUCCCAGUGUAGAGGUGAAAUUCGUAGAUAUUAGGAAGAACACCAGUGGCGAAGGCGGCUCACUGGUCCGGUACUGACGCUGAGGUGCGAAAGCGUGGGGAGCAAACAGG